Non-coding RNA from Sus scrofa (pig), 1121 nucleotides. The record is from RefSeq and is a predicted model, not a curated record. NCBI's taxonomy places the organism in Eukaryota, Metazoa, Chordata, Mammalia, Artiodactyla, Suidae.
GAUGGUGCAGCUGAUCCUGAUGACCAGUACUGUCCAGGAAACAAACACUUCAGUUCAGCCUAAGAUCUCUGCCCAUAUAAGUUGACUGCAAUCAAGCUGCUGAUUGAGCCUGCACUUCCUUGAAUGGCAGCCUCAUUGCCAGUAUCCAUCUUCAUACCACAGCUCACAACACAAUGACAUUAUAGACUGGAAACAGAGUAGAGGACUCUAUGUUUCUGAUGCAAAGAAGGCUACCACUACAUGAUAUAUAUGUGAAUCUAGUCAAAGUUGAUGAGGAAACCACUUGGCAUGGCUUAUGCCUACUGUUGGGAGUCUGUUGGACUUAUAGCCCUCUUCUUGGACUUAUAGCCCUCUUAUCCUUAUCACUGUUGACACUCACUUUGCAGGUUAUGGAGUUGUUGCAAUUUUACCAGCCAACUCUGGUCAUACUACUGUGGCUCUUGAACUAGUCUACAUUAUAUUUUUGCCUUUCCAGACCAUUUGUACUCUGACAAUGGAGAGGCUCUAUUGCAGAAGCCAUGGGUUUUUAGUCAAGCUAUUCCACAGACCUUCCGUGCUCUGGACCCUGCACUGCCUUCUAGUAUUUUUAGCAUUGGAAUGACCGCCUCAAAAAUAAACUAACUUCUGGGUCUUCCACCUCUUGUCUCCUGUCUGACUAUCAUUUGAUCUCCCCACAACUUUACCUAGAAUUGUAUUGGUAACAUCAAAGAUGUCCCAAGAUUCCCAACCUUCCAUACAAAACACCUGUCAGUACCUCAGGAUGUUUUUUCAAGCCCUAUUCUUAUAGCCAUUAUGGUGGCAUGGAAAACGAGGUAGAUUGAAUUAACAGCCCUCAGGCUAAAUAUCAAUGUUGAUGCUCUAAUUCCCAAUGUGAUUGUAUUGGAAAUAGGGGUUCAGGGAGGUAAGUAGGUCAUGAGAGUGGUUUCCUUGUGAAUGGGAUCAGUGCCCUUAUAAGAGGAGACAGAGAGAUGAUGUCUUUCUCCACCAUCUGAGGAUACAGCAGAGGAUAUUGCUGUCUACAAACUAAGGAAGAGGGCUGUCAUCAGAACCUGACCAUCUGGCAUCCUGGUCUCAGACCUCCAGAACUCCAGAUCUAUGAGGAAUAAAUUUCUGUUGUUUAA